CGAUGCAACAUACCACUUGUUGCCUCGGCGGAUCAGCCCGCUCCCGGUAAAACGGGACGGCCCGCCAGAGGACCCCUAAACUCUGUUUCUAUAUGUAACUUCUGAGUAAAACCAUAAAUAAAUCAAAACUUUCAACAACGGAUCUCUUGGUUCUGGCAUCGAUGAAGAACGCAGCAAAAUGCGAUAAGUAAUGUGAAUUGCAGAAUUCAGUGAAUCAUCGAAUCUUUGAACGCACAUUGCGCCCGCCAGUAUUCUGGCGGGCAUGCCUGUUCGAGCGUCAUUUCAACCCUCAAGCACAGCUUGGUGUUGGGACUCGCGUUAAUUCGCGUUCCUCAAAUUGAUUGGCGGUCACGUCGAGCUUCCAUAGCGUAGUAGUAAAACCCUCGUUACUGGUAAUCGUCGCGGCCACGCCGUUAAACCCCAACUUCUGAAUGUUGACCUCGGAUCAGGUAGGAAUACCCGCUGAACUUAAGCAUAUCAAAAGCCCGGAGGAA
This 494-nucleotide ribosomal RNA is filed under the name Fusarium oxysporum. RNAcentral's name for it is "eukaryotic LSU rRNA". The stretch from base 127 to 280 matches the Rfam family "5.8S ribosomal RNA". The record is from RNAcentral. Lineage: Eukaryota; Fungi; Ascomycota; Sordariomycetes; Hypocreales; Nectriaceae.